RNAcentral lists this long non-coding RNA (888 nucleotides) under Marmota monax (woodchuck). The record is from RNAcentral. Lineage: Eukaryota; Metazoa; Chordata; Mammalia; Rodentia; Sciuridae.
CCUGGGGAUGUGCUCAGUGGCUAAUCUCUGGUACCAAAAUAUCUUUUGCUGGGAGUAGGGGGGUGGGCAGUACUGGGGAUUGAACCUAGAGGUAUACUUUAUCACUGAACUCUACUCCAGCCCUUUUAAUUUUUAUUUUGAGACAAGGUCUCCCUAAAUUGCCACGGCUCAUCUCAAACUUGUAAUCCUCCUGCCUCAGCCUCAAUUGCUGGGAUUACAGGUUAGCACCAACACACCUGUAAAGUUAUUUUAAAAAUCUUUAGUGCUUCAAAAAUCCUGGUGGCCCACAAAAUUUGCCAGGUUAACAGGUACAAUUCUAGUCACAUGAGUCUUUCUUGUGAUUUUUUAAGGCUCACACUGGCACAGUGAAAUCAAAGUCUUUGGAGGACCAGUUUAAUUUGUGUUAUUAAAUUUCCCUCCAUUGUAGAUUGAUAGUUUGGUAAACUAAUAAAAAUUGAUUACUAGAAAAAUGAAACUUAAAAAAGAUAUAAAACUCCCUUUAUUGGAUUAUCAUAGACAUAAAAUUUCUGUAAAAUAUAAAACUUUCUGAAUGCUUUGUUUCUGUGCUUAUUCUGUUGGGAACCAGUAGUGGCUCACGGACCAGGACCACCCUUUGAGGAGAAUGCACAGGUUCUUUUAAAUUCUAUAGACUCAGAAUCAUAUGUCCUCCUUUCCCCAUUUGUUUUAUUAGUCACUUUAAUAAAAGCCAUUACUUACCUAGAGGAUAGUAGAAACUGAAGCAAAUGAGGGUGGGGAAAAUGACAGCUUAGUUUCUGUUAGCAAUUCCUAUGACUUAUGUUUAUUUCCAUUUUCCAGUUUGACAUUCCAUCGUGAAUUACCUUGAUAUGGAAGGACAUACUGUGGAACUUGGUUGACAGGAGAAAAAAC